CCCCAGACUAACGGACAUGAAAUGAUAUCCCAUCCUUCCGAUCCUGCGCGCUGAAUUUCGCCGUAGCCACAUUCAUCGCAGCCUUGUCGCAACCUCAUAGCACGCGGUGAAGUCAAUAUCUGCCCUGCCGCGCCGGAGGUAAGCGUGAUCACCUCCUUCAUCGCCUCUCCCUUUUGCGAGAGCAGGUCUGCGGCUCUUUUGCACUUGAACGGCAACCGUCCCCCCCCCCUCUCUCAGGGAAAGGGGGAGAAAGCGGACAAGUUAGUGCGUAGCUAGCCAUUUGCACGGCAUUGCGAAGAGCAAGGCCCCUUAGAGGGUAAUCCGAAGCAAGCAUGGCUACUCCAGAGGGUUUCCCUCACAGGACAUCAAGGCCGCAAAAAGGCCGACCACUCAGCCAGCAGGGAAUAUAGGAAUAUAGAUAAAACUAAACAACACAAUACAAAAGAGCAACCCUUUGGGGAGCCAUAAUCAGUCAAAUCAGCGUGGAUGAUACGGAUGUUUCUGCCUGGUUGCUCCGCUGCGACUUCCUCUUCUGUGGCAGCUUUGUCGCGCACGAGGCCGACGACUACUAGGUAGGCUUUCUGGGCAAAGCGGAUAGUUGGUGUAAACUUCAAAACUACAAGACGCA
RNAcentral lists this small RNA (628 nucleotides) under Histoplasma capsulatum. RNAcentral describes it as "hypothetical RNA". Lineage: Eukaryota; Fungi; Ascomycota; Eurotiomycetes; Onygenales; Ajellomycetaceae. RNAcentral also lists the same sequence under 1 other name. The record is from RNAcentral.